This is a long non-coding RNA of Pan troglodytes (chimpanzee), 2778 nucleotides long. RefSeq lists it as uncharacterized. The transcript is spliced from 3 exons. The record is from RefSeq and is a predicted model, not a curated record. Lineage: Eukaryota; Metazoa; Chordata; Mammalia; Primates; Hominidae.
GAGGUCGCCUCCCUCCUGUCCUGCUGACUGGCACUUGCUUUCCCAUUUCUAGGGUUGCAGCUGCCACCAUGUGGAAAUGGAGUGAGCAGACACAACCCUCCAUCCAUCUGAGUGAUCCUGGAAGGACUCAUGGAAUAGUGAGACGGGGAGCGGUUCAACAGACCAUCAACGGCAGGUCUGUCUUGUCCAUUCCUCAACAAAUGCCGAAGUGCCUCAGCUGCGGCCCCACGCUCAGGUUCCAGCCAAGGCUGACUUCACUGGAGCAUGCUGCGCUCAGCAAAGACAGCGACAAGGAUCCCAUCAUUCGACCACACAGCAAUACUGGAGGAGGCAAGACCUAAUUCAUCUACAAUACUUGGCCCACUGUUUUAAUUACUGCGACAACCAAAUAAAAUCGUUAGGUAUCUAAUUGGUGACACUGGAAGUUCAGACAGCAGACAUCCUAGGACUCCCAAGCUGUAGCAGCCAUGACAGGAGAAUUUCCCAACCCGCGUCUGAGCCCCAGACUCCCAGGCCAGGUGCCAGUGAUUAUCUUCAAAGCUGGAGGCCAGCUGAGAGGAAAAGUGGCCAGUUGGGCCGUUUGAUUAAGUGUUAGUUGGAGAAUUUUCCAUGGAACAUACAUUUUGCAAUGCAGUUAAGGAGGGAGGGUAAAAAAGUGUCUCUCUCGCAAAUAUUCUAUGGGGAAAACAGCCUGUUGUAUGAAGAAUCCCGCUCCCCACAGGCUCGCCCUAAUAGACAAAACCUGAGCAUCUACAGAUGUGCAUGAGGCAUGGGCUCUGGUCUGUGCCAGAUGGUGACUAUGUUUUCCCGCCCUGGGAGAAGGCUGUCUGCAUAAGACAUCUCAUUCGGCAAUCUAUUAGGACUUCAGAGGCUUUUAGGGGUGACAAGAGCCCACAUAAGGAUUUAAGAGAGUUAAAAACAGAUGUCUGCCUCUUUUAUUCCUGGCUCUGAGUCUUUAUUGUGAGAAGGUUGCUUUAUUGGCCAUUUUUCUGUAGAGUUAAUCUCCCAUUAGAGCGGCUUAGAGCUACGGCCCAAUGGGUCUGCCACCUAUUUUUAUAAAUAAAGUUUUACCAGAACAUACACACUACCCUUACAUUUGCAUAUCACCCAUGGCCACUUCCAUGCUACAUUGCUAGAGUGGAAUUAUUGCGGCAGAGACUGCUAAGCUUAAGACAUUUACUAUCUGACCCUUUACAGAGGCCUGCCAACUCUAGACUACAGGCUAAGAGCAGGACUGGUAGGCUUCCACCCUAUCACAGCAUUCCCCCACUCACAGCCUCUGCCCAUGUUUCGCCAGAUGGAUGAGGCGCUCCCUCUCAGAACCAAAGCAGCCCAGGCACCGUGUUUUGGAAGAAUUCCAAAUUGUCAUCAUGUUGCUUGGAAGGUGGCUGGUUUCUUCUGACCCGCUCAGCAAAGGAACAGGACUGUACUGUGGGGGACCUACUCGAUGCCCAUGGCUUGAUAUAAAAUGAGAAUCCAGCAAAAGGUGCUGAGGGCUUUGGAGGCUGUGGGUGUGGCAGUCCCUGCAUGAGCAGACUCACGUGGCCGCCCUCACAGGUGCAGACACAGUAGGGCCAUGGGGUGCCCAGCAUCAAUGGGAAAGGCAAAAGAAAUGAGCUUCUUUAUCUCAUCUACCCAACAAUGACAGGUUCUGACUCAUCAACGGGCAACUGCACCCAUACUUUGGGUGGGGGUCCUUAGGGAGCCAAUAAUUUUAAAUUCAAAGUUUGGAGAGGAGGGAGCCUCUGGCUCCCAGGGAAAGCAUCUCAGCGACUGACACUAAGAAACUUUCAGAGGCCACGAGCUGAUCUUCGGUAUCUGCUUGGACUUGGCCUGGAACACUGGGUUUGUCCAGCCCAUGGGAGAACUUUCUCCAGAACUAAAGAGCUUGACCACCUCAGUGAAGGGACACAGAGGCCAGGCAGAAGUUUCUCUGCAUGCUGUUCUACUCUCUGCCUAGCACUGACACUACAACUCCCAAUUCUUCUGUAUUAAAAGGAGCACCUGCAUAUAUGCUAACUUUUCAGGAACAGCACACUGACAUCUGGCCACUUAUGUUUUUUCUGGAGCAAGAUACAAGUCCCCUAAUUAAUUAUGGAUCAAACCAUCAAUGCCUAAAAGAGGUGAGUUUCACUCUCAUAAAAGGAGCUCAGUUUUUUUAAAGGCUUUCAUGUGAAUUUUCAGAGGCUGGCAGCAUCUUUCUGCUGUGCUUAAUAGCGAAGGGUGAAUGCUUCAUUUUCUACCAAAACACGCCUUCCACGUGUGGGGAUCUCCAACGGGCGUCUGGAGCUCUUGGCUGGAGAGGCUGCCUCUGCCCCAGUGCCAGGUGCGCUGGAGAAAACAGGCAUGGGAGCACAGGAAGGAUCACAGCUGUCGCACAGGAGGCAUGGAGCUGACGGGACCUCCAGGGGCACAGGAUGGGGUCAGGAUAGGCGAGGACCUUUGGAUGGCCGGAGAUGGCAGAGCACUGAGAAAGAACAGCUUCUGCGGAGCUGCGAGGAAAAUAAAUAGAGCCAUUCGCCUUCAUCUCCUUGAGCUAGCUGUCAGACUAUAUCGACUAAUAUGGAGUCCGUCUAGUUGUGUAUGAGUCUGUGUGCAAUUGCAUGUGUGUAUUUGCAGCUUUGAUCCGGAAGCCUUCUAAAAAAGAAACUGAUGGCUGGCUGCCAUCAACACAUUUCCUUUCCUCCAGUUCUGUAUGAAACCAAGCCUGUGUGUCAAGGGUUCCCCUAAGUGUGGAGCUCCAGUUCCAGCAUCAAAGACAAAGCAUAUCAGAAAUGC